RNAcentral lists this ribosomal RNA (497 nucleotides) under uncultured bacterium. RNAcentral describes it as "partial 16S ribosomal RNA". It matches the Rfam family "Bacterial small subunit ribosomal RNA", at positions 28 to 507 of the family's 1533-position model. The record is from RNAcentral.
GAUGAACGCUGACGGCGUGCCUAAUACAUGCAAGUCGAGCGAACGGACGAGAAGCUUGCUUCUCUGAUGUUAGCGGCGGACGGGUGAGUAACACGUGGAUAACCUACCUAUAAGACUGGGAUAACUUCGGGAAACCGGAGCUAAUACCGGAUAAUAUUUUGAACCGCAUGGUUCAAAAGUGAAAGACGGUCUUGCUGUCACUUAUAGAUGGAUCCGCGCUGCAUUAGCUAGUUGGUAAGGUAACGGCUUACCAAGGCAACGAUGCGUAGCCGACCUGAGAGGAUGAUCAGCCACACUGGAACUGAGACACGGUCCAGACUCCUACGGGAGGCAGCAGUGGGGAAUAUUGGACAAUGGGCGAAAGCCUGAUCCAGCCAUGCCGCGUGUGUGAUGAAGGUCUUCGGAUCGUAAAGCACUUUAAGUUGGGAGGAAGGGAAGUAAGUUAAUACCUGGCUGUUUUGACGUUACCAACAGAGUAAGCACCGGCUAACUACGUG